Molecule: transfer RNA, 64 nt
Filed under: Ochthebius peisonis
Lineage: Eukaryota; Metazoa; Arthropoda; Insecta; Coleoptera; Hydraenidae
Description: tRNA-Asn
Source: RNAcentral
UUAAUUGAAACCAAAAAGAGGUAUAUUACUGUUAAUAAUAUUAUUGAGUCAAACUCCAAUUAAA